This 270-nucleotide unclassified non-coding RNA is filed under the name plant metagenome. RNAcentral describes it as "partial contains small subunit ribosomal RNA and internal transcribed spacer 1". The stretch from base 1 to 46 matches the Rfam family "Eukaryotic small subunit ribosomal RNA", at positions 1786 to 1831 of the family's 1831-position model. The record is from RNAcentral.
AAGUCGUAACAAGGUUUCCGUAGGUGAACCUGCGGAAGGAUCAUUAUUGAAUUCUGAGGGGGGAAGACGAGGAGUGCAGACUGUCGCUGGCCCCCAUGGGGCAUGUGCACGUCUUUCUUUUCGUUGACCUUUCUCUCACACAACACACCUGUGCACCUGUUGUAGGUCCUCGGAAGAGGAUCUAUGUUUUUUUCACAUCACACACCGUCGUAUGUCUAUAGAAUGUAUUGAAGACCGUCUGAUGACGGUCGAUAAAUAUAAAUCAUACAA